Molecule: ribosomal RNA, 713 nt
Filed under: Meloidogyne arenaria
Lineage: Eukaryota; Metazoa; Nematoda; Chromadorea; Rhabditida; Meloidogynidae
Description: partial 28S ribosomal RNA
Rfam family: Eukaryotic large subunit ribosomal RNA
Source: RNAcentral
GAGGACGUGAAACCGGUGAGGUGGAAACGGAUAGAGUCGGCGUAUCAUUCAAUUAUUCAGUUACAUUAUUUUUAUGUUGUGACCUCUGAGCUCCAGAUUGGGACAGAGGGAAUCAGCAUAAUUUUUUGUGGUGCAUUUACUUGAUUGGUGCUUGGGGAUGUUUGAGGCAGAUUUGUUUCCGUCGUUUUGAGGCCAGCUUGCUGGUACCCAAACGGUGUUAGCAUUUUUUGUCUUGGGCAUUUGAGUAUGGCUCACGUGUAUUUAUUGGACAGAUCUGAGUGUAAGUUACGGUCGCAUGCGACACGUGCUUUUCAAUUAGUUCGGUCCAGUUAAUGCUCUCGUACUCGUUCCCCAUGUAAAAGCCGGUCAUCUAUCCGACCCGUCUUGAAACACGGACCAAGGAGUUUAUCGUGUGCGCAAGUUUUUGGGUGUUAAAAACUUAAAAGCGAAAUGAAAGUAAAUGACUCUUUAGAGUCUGAUGUGCGAUCUUGUAAAAAAGUGUAGCAUGGCCCCAUUCUAACUGUUUACAGUAGGGUGGCGGAAGAGCGUACGCGGUGAGACCCGAAAGAUGGUGAACUAUUCCUGAGCAGGACGAAGCCAGAGGAAACUCUGGUGGAAGUCCGAAGCGGUUCUGACGUGCAAAUCGAUCGUCUGACUUGGGUAUAGGGGCGAAAGACUAAUCGAACCAUCUAGUAGCUGUUCCCUUUCCGAAA